RNAcentral lists this microRNA precursor (70 nucleotides) under Astyanax mexicanus (Mexican tetra). RNAcentral describes it as "miR-430 microRNA precursor family". It matches the Rfam family "miR-430 microRNA precursor family". The record is from Rfam by way of RNAcentral. Lineage: Eukaryota; Metazoa; Chordata; Actinopteri; Characiformes; Acestrorhamphidae.
AUUGGUGCUCUAACAACAGCACUGACCUUUUCAUAGUAAUUAGUAAGUGCUAUUUGUUGGGGUAGUUUGA